RNAcentral lists this transfer RNA (63 nucleotides) under Nurudea ibofushi. Its description in RNAcentral is "tRNA-His". The record is from RNAcentral. Lineage: Eukaryota; Metazoa; Arthropoda; Insecta; Hemiptera; Aphididae.
AUUUAAAUAGUUUAAUUAAAAUAUUAAUUUGUGGGAUUAAAGAUUAUUAUAUAAUAUUUAGAU